GUGCUCACUUUGAGUAGUAUAUACAUUAAAAUUGUAACCUUACAGAGAAGAUUAGCAUGACCCCUGAGCAAGGAUGACACACAAAUUUAUGAAGUGUUCUAUAUUUAA
RNAcentral lists this small nuclear RNA (108 nucleotides) under Notamacropus eugenii (tammar wallaby). The record is from RNAcentral. Lineage: Eukaryota; Metazoa; Chordata; Mammalia; Diprotodontia; Macropodidae.